This 132-nucleotide ribosomal RNA is filed under the name Microcebus murinus (gray mouse lemur). The record is from RNAcentral. Lineage: Eukaryota; Metazoa; Chordata; Mammalia; Primates; Cheirogaleidae.
GUCUACGGCCAUCCCACCCCGAACGCGCCGGAUCUGGUCCGAUCUCAGAAGCGAAGCAGGGUCGGGCCCGGUUAGGGCUUGGAUGGGUAGGAAGGGGCUUCCCAAAGCAAGAGUGCCUAGGGCCUAUGGACG